This 381-nucleotide ribosomal RNA is filed under the name Staphylococcus aureus. RNAcentral describes it as "partial 23S ribosomal RNA". It matches the Rfam family "Bacterial large subunit ribosomal RNA", at positions 1100 to 1484 of the family's 2925-position model. The record is from RNAcentral. Lineage: Bacteria; Bacillati; Bacillota; Bacilli; Caryophanales; Staphylococcaceae.
GUUGGCUUAGAAGCAGCCAUCAUUUAAAGAGUGCGUAAUAGCUCACUAGUCGAGUGACACUGCGCCGAAAAUGUACCGGGGCUAAACAUAUUACCGAAGCUGUGGAUUGUCCUUUGGACAAUGGUAGGAGAGCGUUCUAAGGGCGUUGAAGCAUGAUCGUAAGGACAUGUGGAGCGCUUAGAAGUGAGAAUGCCGGUGUGAGUAGCGAAAGACGGGUGAGAAUCCCGUCCACCGAUUGACUAAGGUUUCCAGAGGAAGGCUCGUCCGCUCUGGGUUAGUCGGGUCCUAAGCUGAGGCCGACAGGCGUAGGCGAUGGAUAACAGGUUGAUAUUCCUGUACCACCUAUAAUCGUUUUAAUCGAUGGGGGGACGCAGUAGGAUA